CGUUAUGGUCAUUUGCGCUCGGCAAACCUACAGAAAACAGUUUUUUUUAUUUUUAUUUUCCAAUCCACCUGAUCAAACAAUAAAAAUCACACACAUAUAUAUAUGUUAUCCAGACCAUAGAUACAACCACUGGCACAUUCACCACAACAAGCACAACAUAUAUAGCACAAAUGUCACAAGUUCACAUCCACAAGUUCACAAAGUGCGGCUCAAGUUCACAAAGUGCAUAGUUGUCUCCACAAGUUCACAACACAAGUUCACAACAAGCACUACCACUGCAUCUCAAGACGUUGGGGCUCCGCCUGGUGGGUACUGAACGCCUGGUGAGGGUAUGCCUUCUGCAAUUGCUGCAGGAGUAGGAUUCGAACCCGCCGACUGUUGCUGCAAAACAAAAAGAUCCGCUUAAAUUUGUCAGAAAGAAUUUGUGCAAAGAAGCGAAAGCAAUCGAUUUAUUAUACUCACAGGAGUAGGUAGAACAGGCACCGGCAAAGGGAGGGGAUGGAGGAGCUCUGGUGGCAAGGACAAACCGGACUUCUCGCCAACAGCUGCUAGGAACUUCGUUAGUUCCUCUAGCCUUGUUUGCUGCAUUGCCAGCGCCGCAUUCUGGGCCUCCACCGUCGCACUUGUGGCCACAAGCUUCGCGUCUGUCUCCUCACGCUGCUUCUUCUCAUUUUGUAGCUCGGCCUACAACAGAUAGUACCAAAGUUUCAGUUUUCCAAACGUAACUAAGGUGUAAAUAUUAAUGGACAGCAAGUCACCCUUGACUAACCUGGAGUGCAUC
RNAcentral lists this long non-coding RNA (781 nucleotides) under Sorghum bicolor (sorghum). RNAcentral's name for it is "long non-coding RNA (SBIC_LNC002499)". The record is from RNAcentral. Lineage: Eukaryota; Viridiplantae; Streptophyta; Magnoliopsida; Poales; Poaceae.